GUACCCAGGGACACAAAACACUGCGGAAGGCUGCAGGGACCUCUACCUAGGAAAACCAGAAGAAGUCAUCCACCAGGUUGUGAGGACAUACAAACAGCCUUUGGAGAGGCCCACGUGGGAAGAAACAGAUCUCUCAUUAACUACCAGCACCACCUUGCCAGCCUUGUGACUGUAUCGCCUUGAAAGUAGACCUUCCACCUGCAGUCAAUUUUGAUGUUGCAGCCCCAGCUGACAUCUUGACUACAGCCUCACGAGAUGCACUGGGCCAGAACCUCCCAGCUCCGCCAUUCCAGAAUUCGUGAUCCACACAAACCAGAGAAGCUAUGAUUUCGUCAUUUUCUCCUAAUCAUGCCAAGCUGUGCUGACUUAGGGGAGGGGCUAUCAUAGGUAAAUACAAUGGCUUUUCUGACCUGUUUCAAUGUGACUGUUCUUGGCUUUGUGCUUUCCUGUGGUACUGUAACUUCUUAACUUGUCCUGGAGUUCUCAUAAGGCUUUUUGGACUAUAUACUGUUAAGUCAGUGUCUCCUUGGAGGAAUAAAGCCUGGGGCUUCCUAUUCUGCCAUCUUACUAAGGUCAUUCCAGAUACCAUAAUUU
Molecule: long non-coding RNA, 594 nt
Organism: Gorilla gorilla gorilla (western lowland gorilla)
Lineage: Eukaryota; Metazoa; Chordata; Mammalia; Primates; Hominidae
Exons: 3
Source: RefSeq, a predicted model, not a curated record